This 521-nucleotide ribosomal RNA is filed under the name uncultured bacterium. RNAcentral describes it as "bacterial SSU rRNA". It matches the Rfam family "Archaeal small subunit ribosomal RNA", at positions 345 to 865 of the family's 1478-position model. The record is from RNAcentral.
AACCUCCGCAAUGUGAGAAAUCGCGACGGGGGGAUCCCAAGUGCCAUUCUUAACGGGAUGGCUUUUCAUUAGUGUAAAAAGCUUUUGGAAUAAGAGCUGGGCAAGACCGGUGCCAGCCGCCGCGGUAACACCGGCAGCUCUAGUGGUAGCAAUUUUUAUUGGGCCUAAAGCGUCCGUAGCCGGUUUAAUAAGUCUCUGGUGAAAUCCUGUAGCUUAACUGUGGGAAUUGCUGGAGAUACUAUUAGACUUGAGACCGGGAGAGGUUAGAGGUACUCCCAGGGUAGAGGUGAAAUUCUGUAAUCCUGGGAGGACCGCCUGUUGCGAAGGCGUCUAACUGGAACGGUUCUGACGGUGAGGGACGAAAGUUAGGGGCGCGAACCGGAUUAGAUACCCGGGUAGUCCUAACUGUAAACGAUGCGGACUUGGUGUUGGGGUGGCUUUGAGCUGCUCCAGUGCCGAAGGGAAGCUGUUAAGUCCGCCGCCUGGGAAGUACGGUCGCAAGACUAGAAAUUAAAAGGAAA